UGGAAGCUGAGGGUUGGCUGGGAUCGUACCCUGCUGCUGUUCCCGUCUUGUGCCCGAAGAGCCUGCAGUGCUGUCUUCUGUCUUUAGAAGCCUCCUUCUUCCCAGCCAGCCCCAGGCACAGCCCUGCUGGGUGCUUUGCAUUUUGGAGGGAUGUGCUAGACUGUGACACAGACCAGGUAAGAGCCAAACCAGCAGCAGCAGAAACCCCACAGCACCGUCCCGCUCCAAACUUCUGUUGGCAGCAGCGGAGUUCCUGCUGCCUCUGCCUGUGACUGGGGGGAGCAGGAGGAUGCUUGUGCUGCGUUUGGCCCUAGGCUGGAUCCUGGCUGACAGACAGGCCCACCCCAACCUGCCAUGGAUGGGAACUGGGGUUUUUCCCCCAGUGACAGUGUUUGCAGGAGGGUGAUGGACCUGCGGCGUGUGUUCCCUGGCUGCUCUCAGUGCCUUGGUGUGUCUCUGCAGCCCCCUUCGUUUCCCAUUUGAGGAGCUGAAGGGACACCUUGGUAGCAGACUCGGUGGCAGCAGGUGAGCAUUGCCAGAACUGCAGCAGGGGAGCACAGCAAGGAGGAAUAAAGCCUUGCGGCCCUCCCUCUCCAUCAGUUUGUGCUCCUGUGGCUCAGCCCCAGCCCUGAGGAGCUGUGCUGGGAGGCGAUGGUUGGUGCAGCUCCAGAAGGGCUGAGGUUUGUGAGGGCUGUGUGGGGCUGGGCUGCAAAGCUUUUCCAGCCUCUCACCUGGCUGCCGUGGGAGUGGAGGUGACCUGCUCCUGAGGUCAUCAGGAUGAGUCCAGGCUUGGGCUGGCUGCGGGCUGAUCCCUCACGUUCCCCAGUGCCAUGGCAGGAGGGGAACCCUGUGGUCUGGUAGUGGGAUUCCUCCAGGCCCUCUCUGGUGGCUCAGAAGAGCCAUCCUUGCGUGGGAGAGGAUUGGCUGCUCCAUGGUCGGUGUCUCCCUGUCCGUGGACCAUUCCUUUUCAACACCUUUCAGUAUGCUUGUUAGAGUUUUGUGGGGUUUUUUUUAAUUUUUUGAAUGAUUCAAAUUAUUUUAGUUUAACGUGGAUUUAUUUUCCCUUUUGAGGAAACGUUCAGCCAGCUCGUUGGCAGCAGUUAGCUGUCCUGUUUGAAUUUUAGUAGUGGGUUUGGGGUUUUUUUUUUUUCCCCUUUGCUUUUUUAAUUUUUACUCUAACUGCUCAUUAUUUAUGCCUCUCUUUCUCCCAUCUCAGUUCAUCAUCUUCUGUUCCAGCCCUGGGGUUCAGCGGUCAGCAUAGCUGACCACAUGGCUCUUAGUUCCUCCCAGCUGUGACAGAGCUUUUUGGGUUUGGUUUUUUUUGUUCUUUUUUCUUUUUUUUUUUUUUGAAUGGCACACUGUAGCAAACCUCUGGGAAUUGAAUUCCUUCUCAAAUGAUUUUGUAUUUUAUAAAAUCCUAUUAGUAUGCACUGAGAGUGAACGCACUGUAAUGUCCCUGAACUGACCCUGGCGCCCGCGCUGACACUAAAGGAGGAGUUAACAGCUCACCCUGUGCAAAUAGGUGUGAAAUCUGCCACGCUCUGUGGCUGCGGAGAUGAGCGCCUGUUUCUCAUAUACCAUUGGCACACUUGGGGCUGCAAAAAUAGUAGAACCAGGCCUUACUUUCGUAAUCAGAUUCCGUUCUGUUUGUCGACAGACGCUCGUUGUGUUCCUUUCUUUCAUUACGUGAGUCGGUCGAGGACUGUUCAUCCUUUGAGUACAUAGUAGGGUUGUUUAGUACGUUGAACAUGAUCUUUUUUUUUUUUCCUUUGAAGUACUCAAAGGGCUAGCUCUGAAUGUCACCUCUCUGAUCUCCAGCAUUCUGACUUCAAACAGCUGUACAAUCGUUUUGUUCUCUCUUCAGCAAGCAUAAAGGUCUCUCUGGCUACAGACCGCAGUGUCCACGCAUGUUUGCAGAGAACGAUCUGCAUGCAGGCAGUGCCUCACCGCACCGGUGAAGCUCGUGUUCACCCUCUCCCAGCAGUAGCCACCUACUGCAGCUGCCUUUUUUUCCUUGCUGCCCAUUAUGCGGGGCUUCGACUUUUCAUACUAUAAAAAAAAGAAGUGUAUUGUUUUUUUUUUUCUUGCCCACCAUGCUUUAAGUCUGAAUGGGAGAGAACUCUCAGCAGACGGCGGCUCCUGGCUGCGAGGUUGCAGAACUCUCAGAUGCGGAUGUGUUUUUCUGCCAUUGGCUGCACCGGUGCUCCGUGGGCGAAUAUGGAUCCAUCAGCCCCCCGGUCUGCGUACCGUAGUUCUCAUGUAGUGCAGAAUUAUCGAGGCAUGUGGCUUUCUUAAGGUACACUAUGUGUGCUUGCCUGGAUUACAAUACGAGACUGUCUUUUUUUAUCGCUUACUACUAGCUUACCAAUAACCUCUAUAAGUAACCUAACUCACAUCUUUGUCAUUCAGACCUUUUCUCCCCACCCCUUUAUUUAUCAAGCAUAAUAUUACAUGUUAAGGGACAGGAAAAUAGACCUUUGUAGAAUACAGCAGAACAGUGUUGCUAACAAUGUUUGAAAUGGGAAUUAGAACCUCUCUGAAAAACGCCAGCCAUGAGAAAUGACUUUGUUGGCACCGUGUUCAUGCGCAUGUAUUUUUUUCUAUUGUUUCCGCUUUUGUCAUGUUACAUCCAUAUCUGUAUUUAUAUCUUGUUUGUUUCACUUUUGAGUGUAUCAUGGCAAUUGUACAGAUGGUUUUUGUUAACAUUUACGUGAUAGAAUUUGCUAAAAAAAAAAAAAAAAUUAAAAUAAAACCUUUUGAGUUUGCCCUAGAGCAAGUGGGACGUGGGUUUGUUGGCAGGGAGGAGCAUUAAUGGAGGCACAUUAUCCGGCACAUCUCCCACUCCAGCAGCCUUUGCCUGUAAAGGAUUCGCUCUCCGUGUUGAAAAUGCAUGGAACCUUUAGGCAAAGGGCUGCUGCCACCUCGUGCAGAUGGACCUCCCGUGGUGUGUGCAGGAACAUGGACCAGACCACAGCUCUGGGAGUGGGGACUUGGCAUGUCUUGG
Molecule: long non-coding RNA, 3004 nt
Filed under: Gallus gallus (chicken)
Lineage: Eukaryota; Metazoa; Chordata; Aves; Galliformes; Phasianidae
Source: RNAcentral